RNAcentral lists this ribosomal RNA (253 nucleotides) under uncultured bacterium. Its description in RNAcentral is "partial 16S ribosomal RNA". It matches the Rfam family "Bacterial small subunit ribosomal RNA", at positions 524 to 776 of the family's 1533-position model. The record is from RNAcentral.
UACGUAGGGGGCGAGCGUUGUCCGGAUUUACUGGGCGUAAAGAGCGCGCAGGCGGUCGUACAAGUCGCGUGUGAAAGCCCCUGGCUCAACUGGGGAGGGUCACGCGAUACUGUUCGACUUGAAGGCAGGAGAGGGAAGUGGAAUUCCCGGUGUAGUGGUGAAAUGCGUAGAUAUCGGGAGGAACACCAGUGGCGAAGGCGACUUCCUGGCCUGUUCUUGACGCUGAGGCGCGAAAGCUAGGGUAGCAAACGGG